RNAcentral lists this ribosomal RNA (468 nucleotides) under uncultured bacterium. RNAcentral describes it as "partial 16S ribosomal RNA". It matches the Rfam family "Bacterial small subunit ribosomal RNA", at positions 28 to 507 of the family's 1533-position model. The record is from RNAcentral.
GACGAACGCUGGCGGCGUGCUUAACACAUGCAAGUCGAACGGAAAGGCCCUGCUUGUGUGGGGUGCUCGAGUGGCGAACGGGUGGGUAACACGGGAGUAACCUGCCCUUGACUUGGGGAUAACUUCAGGAAACUGGGGCUAAUACCAGAUAGGAGCUCCUGCUGCAUGGGGGGGGUUGGAAAGUUUCGGCGGUUGGGGAUGGACUCGCGGCUUAUCAGCUUGUUGGUGGGGGAGUGGCUUACCAAGGCUUUGAAGGGUAGCCGGCCUGAGAGGGUGACCGGCCACAUUGGGCCUGCGAUACGGCCCAGACUCCUACGGGAGGCAGCAGUGGGGAAUAUUGCACAAUGGGCGGACGCCUGAUGCAGAAACGCCGCGUGCGGGAUGAAGGCCUUCGGGUUGUAAACCGCUUUCGCCUGUGACGAAGCGUGAGUGACGGUAAUGGGUAAAGAAGCACCGGCUAACUACGUG